GAGUUUGAUCAUGGCUCAGAUUGAACGCUGGCGGCAGGCCUAACACAUGCAAGUCGAACGGUAACAGGAAGCAGCUUGCUGCUUCGCUGACGAGUGGCGGACGGGUGAGUAAUGUCUGGGAAGCUGCCUGAUGGAGGGGGAUAACUACUGGAAACGGUAGCUAAUACCGCAUAAUGUCGCAAGACCAAAGAGGGGGACCUUCGGGCCUCUUGCCAUCGGAUGUGCCCAGAUGGGAUUAGCUUGUUGGUGGGGUAACGGCUCACCAAGGCGACGAUCCCUAGCUGGUCUGAGAGGAUGACCAGCCACACUGGAACUGAGACACGGUCCAGACUCCUACGGGAGGCAGCAGUGGGGAAUAUUGCACAAUGGGCGCAAGCCUGAUGCAGCCAUGCCGCGUGUAUGAAGAAGGCCUUCGGGUUGUAAAGUACUUUCAGCGGGGAGGAAGGGAGUAAAGUUAAUACCUUUGCUCAUUGACGUUACCCGCAGAAGAAGCACCGGCUAACUCCGUGCCAGCAGCCGCGGUAAUACGGAGGGUGCAAGCGUUAAUCGGAAUUACUGGGCGUAAAGCGCACGCAGGCGGUUUGUUAAGUCAGAUGUGAAAUCCCCGGGCUCAACCUGGGAACUGCAUCUGAUACUGGCAAGCUUGAGUCUCGUAGAGGGGGGUAGAAUUCCAGGUGUAGCGGUGAAAUGCGUAGAGAUCUGGAGGAAUACCGGUGGCGAAGGCGGCCCCCUGGACGAAGACUGACGCUCAGGUGCGAAAGCGUGGGGAGCAAACAGGAUUAGAUACCCUGGUAGUCCACGCCGUAAACGAUGUCGACUUGGAGGUUGUGCCCUUGAGGCGUGGCUUCCGGAGCUAACGCGUUAAGUCGACCGCCUGGGGAGUACGGCCGCAAGGUUAAAACUCAAAUGAAUUGACGGGGGCCCGCACAAGCGGUGGAGCAUGUGGUUUAAUUCGAUGCAACGCGAAGAACCUUACCUGGUCUUGACAUCCACGGAAGUUUUCAGAGAUGAGAAUGUGCCUUCGGGAACCGUGAGACAGGUGCUGCAUGGCUGUCGUCAGCUCGUGUUGUGAAAUGUUGGGUUAAGUCCCGCAACGAGCGCAACCCUUAUCCUUUGUUGCCAGCGGUCCGGCCGGGAACUCAAAGGAGACUGCCAGUGAUAAACUGGAGGAAGGUGGGGAUGACGUCAAGUCAUCAUGGCCCUUACGACCAGGGCUACACACGUGCUACGAUGGCGCAUACAAAGAGAAGCGACCUCGCGAGAGCAAGCGGACCUCAUAAAGUGCGUCGUAGUCCGGAUUGGAGUCUGCAACUCGACUCCAUGAAGUCGGAAUCGCUAGUAAUCGUGGAUCAGAAUGCCACGGUGAAUACGUUCCCGGGCCUUGUACACACCGCCCGUCACACCAUGGGAGUGGGUUGCAAAAGAAGUAGGUAGCUUAACCUUCGGGAGGGCGCUUACCACUUUGUGAUUCAUGACUGGGGUGAAGUCGUAACAAGGUA
Molecule: ribosomal RNA, 1499 nt
Filed under: metagenome
Description: bacterial SSU rRNA
Rfam family: Bacterial small subunit ribosomal RNA
Source: RNAcentral